CCUACGGGCGGCAGCAGUGAGGAAUAUUGGUCAAUGGGCGGAAGCCUGAACCAGCCAAGUCGCGUGAGGGAUUAAGGCCCUGCGGGUCGUAAACCUCUUUUGCCGGGGAGCAGAGGUCCGGACGUGUCCGGGCCGGGAGAGUACCCGGAGAAAAGGCAUCGGCUAACUCCGUGCCAGCAGCCGCGGUAAUACGGGGGAUGCGAGCGUUAUCCGGAUUUAUUGGGUUUAAAGGGUGCGUAGGCGGGCAUUUAAGCCGGCGGUCAAAUGUCGGGGCUCAACCCCGGCCUGCCGUCGGAACUGGGUGCCUUGAGUGGGCGAGAAGUAUGCGGAAUGCGUGGUGUAGCGGUGAAAUGCUUAGAUAUCACGAAGAACUCCGAUUGCGAAGGCAGUUCACUGGACUGCAACUGACACUGAGGCUCGAAAGUGUGGGUAUCAAACAGGAUUAGAUACCCGGGUAGUC
This 460-nucleotide ribosomal RNA is filed under the name uncultured bacterium. Its description in RNAcentral is "partial 16S ribosomal RNA". It matches the Rfam family "Bacterial small subunit ribosomal RNA", at positions 338 to 795 of the family's 1533-position model. The record is from RNAcentral.